UGAGUGUGGGAAAACUUAGCAGUCACUAAGCACAAUGUCCCCUACACCGUCUGCUUUGUUUGCAAACGAUUCCUGUGGAAGAAUUGCACCACCUCACCAUUUGCUAAGCAGCCCAGCACAGUGGUAUGAAAGGAGACUGUUACAGGUCUGAGCAAGCUGAGCUGAUGGAGUAUCUCUAUGAACUGGUGAGGGUGUGC
Molecule: long non-coding RNA, 197 nt
Filed under: Phasianus colchicus (ring-necked pheasant)
Lineage: Eukaryota; Metazoa; Chordata; Aves; Galliformes; Phasianidae
Description: lncRNA (ENSPCLG00000005602.1)
Source: RNAcentral